Juglans microcarpa x Juglans regia is the source of this 691-nucleotide long non-coding RNA. RefSeq lists it as uncharacterized. The record is from RefSeq and is a predicted model, not a curated record. The transcript has 2 exons. NCBI's taxonomy places the organism in Eukaryota, Viridiplantae, Streptophyta, Magnoliopsida, Fagales, Juglandaceae.
AGUAUUACACUCCUGCUUUACAACCAUAUCUUUAUAAAUGAAAGUGGUUAUUUGAAACUUGAAAUUUCUUUGUUCUCUUGUUAGCAUCAAAUGCGCACUAGAGUUAUGUCAGAUUUGGGAAUUGCUUACAUCAAAGACCUUCUGAAAUAGGCCUAAGAAUCAUCUUGGGCUUUUUCAUUUUGGAUCAUCGAAAACACUUUGAUUCAUGGAAAAUUCAUGAUUGGUUUAUUUCAAGAAGACAGGGUCUAUGUGGUCUUGCAUGCAUUCCCACUUCUGCAAAUAUCUUGGAAGGGGUUUAGUACCAAUGUAAGAGCUGUCUGGACUAAAGAGAGAGAAUGCUGAGGCAUUUUCUUGGAGCUGCCUUCCAAGACGUUUGAAGACUUCCACCAGGAGAUGAAAGGGACACUUGGGAAAAAAUUUCCCUUUAGAAGUAUAGUUGAAUUGGGUAGUUCUGUUAUAUACCUAACAUUAUACUUCUAAGAAAUGGGCUGAAUUGCAAAGGAUGAUUAGAGAAAAGAAAAUCAAGGUACUAAAAAUAUUUUAGAAAUUAAGGUGCUAACAUUCUUCCUGUAAAUGUUUUGUUUAUUGCAUAAUGGCCACUGGUAUGCUUACAUAAUUCCUUACAUUUUUCUGUUUAAUAGCUCAAACUAUUCAUGUACAUUGCGUGGGAAUACAAGUAGUUAGUUGGUAA